UUGCCCUGGGGGUCAAAAAGCUCCAAGGAAAUGCCCACUUGGAACAGCCAAUGAACUUACAGCUCAAGUGGACAUCACAGCCUGCCAGGUAAGCUGACGAGCAGGGAAGGAGAGCAGGCAGGUGCAAGCAGCCUUUUCUACAUUUCUACAUUUACUGCCACGUAUUUUGAAUUAUCUCAUUUUAAGCUUCAAACCAGAUUUUUCAGUUUGGUUUGAGGUUUUUUGGGAUAUUUGAUAUUUGGGUAUAUUUUUACUCAGAGCAAGCCACGUGUCCAUCCAGGUAGACAUUGAGCAGCACUUCCUUGACUCGUUCGUUACAGUACUGAUGGUAUAAAGUACAUGUAGGGAACUCUAGGGGAAUUCUAUGAACUGAAGAGCUCAUAGAAUCAUUCUUUGACUCUAUGACCUCUUCAGAGUGCGGAGGCCAGAGUUUGAAAAUGCUCCAAGAUCCUUUCUUUUUAACAUUUGAGCUGAAUGUGUCUGAAACUUUGUUGGCUUACGUUAUUCCUGCAAAGAAUACGUUUCUAUGGAUCUGAUGCUGCUUGUGAUUACGCUGCAGGUCUGUCCCAAAGGCUAUCUCAGCCUAGAGAAUGGAGCGGGAUGUCGUGCGUGCCCAGAUGGCUAUUCAUGUGAUCCACGUAGCGGUGUGCAGAGGAGCUGCAGCCCUGGCCAGUAUUCUCCAGAGGGAGAGUCAGAGUGUCUGGAAUGCCCGGAGAACUAUGCCUGCCCAGAUGGACGGAGUAGGCAGCACUGUUUGGCCGGGCAGGAGCCAAAUCCAAGCCACACUCAUUGUGUUACCUACACCCCUGGUUCUUUCUCAGCUGAAGACACGCUGAUACGCCAGCCUUGUCCAGCAGGUCACUUCUGUGCAGGCAGCUUUACAGAUGCUCCUCUGUGCCCAGCAGGGAGCUUCAAGCCCAAAGAGGGACUACACAUGCCCAGCAGCAGCAGCUCCUCGUUCUUGCCCGGUCUGUGUCAGAAAAGGUCUUAAUUUUUUGCAGUGGGAGUAAUAAUUCUUGCUCUAAAUCACACUGUGAAGUAUGUGCUUAUGGAGGGGUGGUGGCUACAGUUCUUAUUUGCUAGGCUCUGUCGAAGGCAAUGCUAGAGCUGGAUGAAAGGAACGUGGAUUCUCCUACAAAUCACCAGGCUGGUGGUGUAGCAUCAAUUAGUUAUUAGUAUUUUACAAAAUACAAUAUGCUUGGGUUAUAGUUUCUUGGGAAG
This 1221-nucleotide long non-coding RNA is filed under the name Numida meleagris (helmeted guineafowl). Its description in RNAcentral is "lncRNA (ENSNMEG00000012191.1)". The record is from RNAcentral. Lineage: Eukaryota; Metazoa; Chordata; Aves; Galliformes; Numididae.